GACCCGCUAGCUCAGUUGGUAGAGCAUCUGACUUUUAAUCAGGUGGUCGUAGGUUCAAGUCCUACGCGGGUCA
RNAcentral lists this transfer RNA (73 nucleotides) under bacterium. RNAcentral's name for it is "tRNA-Lys". It matches the Rfam family "tRNA". From Rfam's summary of the family: Transfer RNA (tRNA) molecules are approximately 80 nucleotides in length. Their secondary structure includes four short double-helical elements and three loops (D, anti-codon, and T loops). The record is from RNAcentral.